AUGGGAAUUCCUGCUAAUGCUACUGCUUCGUUCAGCUUCCCGGUGAUCAACAUGGAGAAGCUUGAGACCCAGGAGAGGGGCGCCGCCAUGGGGGUCAUCGGCGACGCCUGCGAGAACUGGGGCUUCUUCGAGCUGCUGAACCAUGGCAUCUCGCACGAGCUGCUGGACGAGGUGGAGCGGGCGAGCAAGGCCCACUACGCGGCGUGCCGGGAGGAGCAGUUCAAGGAGUUCGCGGCGAAGACGCUGGAGGCCGGCGAGAAGGGCGCCGACGUGAAGGACGUGGACUGGGAGAGCACCUUCUUCGUCCGCCACCUCCCUGCCUCCAACCUCGCCGACCUGCCCGACCUCGACCACCACUACAGGUAUACGCACUUAAGCGAUUGGAAUGGAAUCAUCUUUUUAGCAAGUGACACUUUGCCUUUUCCGUGUCGUCGUUGCAGGCAAGUGAUGAAGGAAUUCGCGGCGGAGAUCGAGAAGCUGGCGGAGAAGGUGCUGGACCUGCUGUGCGAGAACCUGGGUCUGGAGCUGGGCUACCUGAAGCAGGCCUUCGCCGGUUCCUGGGGCCCGACGUUCGGCACCAAGGUCAGCAGCUACCCGCCGUGCCCGCGGCCGGACAUGGUGGACGGCCUACGCGCGCACACCGACGCCGGCGGCGUCAUCAUGCUUUUCCAGGACGAUCAGGUCAGCGGGCUCCAGCUGCUCAAGGACGGAGCAUGGGUCGACGUGCCGCCCAUGCGCCACGCCAUAGUCGUCAACAUCGGCGACCAGCUGGAGGUGAUCACCAAUGGGCGGUACAAGAGCGUGAUGCACCGCGUGCUCACCCGACCCGACGGCAACCGCAUGUCCAUCGCCUCAUUCUACAACCCCGGCGCCGACGCCGUCAUCUUCCCGGCCACGGCGCUCGUCGAGGAGCCGUCGGAGGAGGCGGAGCGUGCCGGGAGCGCCGUGUACCCGAGGUUCGUGUUCGAGGACUACAUGAACCUGUACAUGCGCCACAAGUUCGAGGCCAAGGAGCCGCGCUUCGAGGCCAUGAAGGCGGACGCCGCGCCCAUCGCCACCGCGUGA
Molecule: ribosomal RNA, 1065 nt
Filed under: Triticum aestivum (bread wheat)
Lineage: Eukaryota; Viridiplantae; Streptophyta; Magnoliopsida; Poales; Poaceae
Description: partial small subunit ribosomal RNA
Source: RNAcentral